RNAcentral lists this ribosomal RNA (497 nucleotides) under uncultured bacterium. RNAcentral's name for it is "partial 16S ribosomal RNA". It matches the Rfam family "Bacterial small subunit ribosomal RNA", at positions 28 to 507 of the family's 1533-position model. The record is from RNAcentral.
GAUGAACGCUGGCGGCGUGCCUAAUACAUGCAAGUCGAGCGAACAGAUAAGGAGCUUGCUCCUUUGACGUUAGCGGCGGACGGGUGAGUAACACGUGGGUAACCUACCUAUAAGACUGGAAUAACUCCGGGAAACCGGGGCUAAUGCCGGAUAACAUUUAGAACCGCAUGGUUCUAAAGUGAAAGAUGGUUUUGCUAUCACUUAUAGAUGGACCCGCGCCGUAUUAGCUAGUUGGUAAGGUAACGGCUUACCAAGGCAACGAUACGUAGCCGACCUGAGAGGGUGAUCGGCCACACUGGAACUGAGACACGGUCCAGACUCCUAAGGGAGGCAGCAGUAGGGAAUCUUCCGCAAUGGGCGAAAGCCUGACGGAGCAACGCCGCGUGAGUGAUGAAGGUCUUCGGAUCGUAAAACUCUGUUAUUAGGGAAGAACAAAUGUGUAAGUAACUGUGCACGUCUUGACGGUACCUAAUCAGAAAGCCACGGCUAACUACGUG